CCACCACCAAAGCAUUCUCUGGUGUUGAAGGCCCUGCAAAGCAGCAUCGCGGUGGCGGAGCGUCGUUUGCGACGCCCAACACACAAAACAAGCGGUGAGUGCUUUGGGGUGGGGUGACUGCGUACCUUUUGUAUAAUGGGUCAGCGACUUAUAUUCUGUAGCAAGGUUAACCGAAUAGGGGAGCCGGAGGGAAACCGAGUCUUAAUUGGGCGUUAAGUUGCAGGGUAUAGACCCGAAACCCGGUGAUCUAGCCAUGGGCAGGUUGAAGGUUGGGUAACACUAACUGGAGGACCGAACCGACUAAUGUUGAAAAAUUAGCGGAUGACCUGUGGCUGGGGGUGAAAGGCCAAUCAAACCGGGAGAUAGCUGGUUCUCCCCGAAAGCUAUUUAGGUAGCGCCUCGUGAAUUCAUCUCCGGGGGUAGAGCACUGUUUCGGCUAGGGGGCCAUCCCGGCUUACCAACCCGAUGCAAACUGCGAAUACCGGAGAAUGUUAUCACGGGAGACACACGGCGGGUGCUAACGUCCGUCGUGAAGAGGGAAACAACCCAGACCGCCAGCUAAGGUCCCAAAGUCAUGGUUAAGUGGGAAACGAUGUGGGAAGGCCCAGACAGCCAGGAUGUUGGCUUAGAAGCAGCCAUCAUUUAAAGAAAGCGUAAUAGCUCACUGGUCGAGUCGGCCUGCGCGGAAGAUGUAACGGGGCUAAACCAUGCACCGAAGCUGCGGCAGCGACACUCAGGUGUUGUUGGGUAGGGGAGCGUUCUGUAAGCCUGUGAAGGUGGCCUGUGAGGGUUGCUGGAGGUAUCAGAAGUGCGAAUGCUGACAUAAGUAACGAUAAAGCGGGUGAAAAGCCCGCUCGCCGGAAGACCAAGGGUUCCUGUCCAACGUUAAUCGG
This 893-nucleotide ribosomal RNA is filed under the name Salmonella enterica subsp. enterica serovar Virchow. RNAcentral's name for it is "partial 23S ribosomal RNA". It matches the Rfam family "Bacterial large subunit ribosomal RNA", at positions 566 to 1372 of the family's 2925-position model. Lineage: Bacteria; Pseudomonadati; Pseudomonadota; Gammaproteobacteria; Enterobacterales; Enterobacteriaceae. The record is from RNAcentral.